AGGAAAUAGAUACCCUGGUAGUCCACGCCCUAAACGAUGCGAACUGGACGUUGGUUGCAACUUGGCAAAUCAGUGUCGAAAGCUAACGCGUUAAGUUCGCCGCCUGGGGAGUACGGUCGCAAGACUGAAACUCAAAGGAAUUGACGGGGGCCCGCACAAGCGGUGGAGUAUGUGGUUUAAAUUCGAUGCAACGCGCAGAACCUUACCUGGCCUUGACAUGUCGCGAACUUUCCAGAGAUGGAUUGGUGCCUUCGGGAACGCGAACACAGGUGCUGCAUGGCUGUCGUCAGCUCGUGUCGUGAGAUGUUGGGUUAAGUCCCGCAACGAGCGCAACCCUUGUCCUUAGUUGCCAGCACG
Molecule: ribosomal RNA, 357 nt
Filed under: uncultured bacterium
Lineage: Bacteria
Description: bacterial SSU rRNA
Rfam family: Bacterial small subunit ribosomal RNA
Source: RNAcentral